RNAcentral lists this unclassified non-coding RNA (2033 nucleotides) under Dimorphilus gyrociliatus. RNAcentral describes it as "dgyrCDS13509". The record is from RNAcentral. Lineage: Eukaryota; Metazoa; Annelida; Polychaeta; Dinophilidae.
AACUGAUCGGAAGCCAUUUUUGUUCGCCAGACGUUUGAUUUACGGUGAUAUCCUGACUCCGACUGCUGCAACAUUCCUUUAGUCGUAAUUUUUAAUUGAGAAAUUCAAAAAUAUAAUAAAGGGAAAAAAUGGCUGAUGAUUUCGACGUAGAAGCGAUGCUUGAGGCUCCUUACAAAAAAGAGUGUGACAAACUAAGAGUCUACUCUGAAUAUUGUCGCCCUCAGAUCGUUUACAAAGACCAUAUUGUGGGCAGCAGGCGAAAGGUACCAACAUUUUGUGCGUAAAUUUUAUAUAAUAUAAAAAGAAAAAACUUGUAUUUAAAUAAUUAAACAAAAAGAUUGCAAUUAUAUGGUAAUACUAAUCUAUACAGUAGUCAAGAAGAGGAUGAAUGUAAAACGAUCGUGAUGAGGUAAUGAUCAAUCCGGGGCCUGCCGCCAUUUUGCGCCUUUUUUAAUAGAUUUCUUUAUUAUUUAUUUUAUAUAUGUAAACAAAUCUUUGUUUACUAUCUUUACUAAAAUGUGUUGUUCAAUUUGGCGGCCACGCCCGAAACUUUCGGCAUGUGUUGCUGAUCUACGUGAACCGUUUAAUACGAAAUGCAGGAAUCGAAUGGGCAUAGAGCUUCUAGCAGAGAUCGCGACAGGGACAGAGAUCGUGAACGAGAAAGAGACAGGGACCGAACUAAGAGAAAAAGCAGAAGUCGAAGCAAAGAUCGUAAGAGAAGGUCUAGAAGUAAAGACCGACAUCGAGAAAAAGGCAGAGAAAGAGAACGAGAAAAGGAUAGAGACAGACGAAGACGUUCAAGGAGUCGAGAGAAGAGAAGGUCACCCCGUCGUAGAUCGCCACCUCGUGAGAGACCCAGAAAUUAUGAAUAUUCCCCAGAAGAACGUGAUGCUAGAACUGUAUUUUGUAUGCAACUCUCUCAGAGAAUUCGCCCAAGAGACUUAGAAGAAUUUUUCAGCUCUGUUGGGAGAGUUUACGAUGUUCGCCUAAUUGCUGAUGGCAGGACCGGACGAUCAAAAGGUAUCGCUUACGUCGAAUUUGAGGAAACCAGUUCUGUGAAUUUAGCCUUAGGUUUGAAUGGUCAAAAGCUACUUGGUGUUCCAAUAAUUGUUCAAGUCUCUCAAGCUGAGAAAAAUAGAGCUGCUCAACAAGCUGCACAAAUUGAGGCAGAAACUGCACGAGCGUCACAGGGCCCAAUGAGACUGUAUGUUGGAUCUUUGCAUUUCAAUAUAACAGAAGAUAUGCUAAGAGGAAUUUUUGAACCCUUUGGCAAAAUUGAACACAUAAACCUAGUAUUGGAUCCAGAAACAAGUCGAUCAAAAGGGUUCGGUUUCGUUACAUUUAUUAGAAGUGAAGAUGCUAAAAAGGCAAUGGAGCAGCUGAACGGCUUUGAAAUUGCUGGGCGACCUAUGAAAGUAAAUCAUGUAACUGAAAAAAUGGAUGGUAUUGGUAGCAUGAUUGAUACAGAUGAAAUGGAUAGGGCAGGUAUAGAUUUAGGGGCAACUGGUAGACUUCAGCUUAUGGCCAAACUAGCUGAGGGAACAGGUUUUCAAUUACCAAAGCCUGCUGCCUCAGCGCUUAGUGUUCAGCGUAUUUUACGUCCGCAGGAACAACAUCAACAAGCCCUACAGCAGGCUGUCACAACCCCGCCGAUAGCGACACAAUGUUUUAUGUUAUCAAACAUGUUUGAUACUAAUUCUGAUAAAAGUGGAGACUGGGAAACAGAAAUAAAAGAUGAUGUCAUUACUGAGUGUAACAAGCAUGGCGGAUGUGUUCACGUCUAUGUUGAUAAAGCUAGUCCACAAGGAAAUGUUUACGUGAAAUGUCCUUCAAUAGCAAGCGCUGUUGCUAGUGUGAAUGCUCUACACGGCCGUUGGUUUGGAGGAAGAAUGGUUACCGCCGCUUAUGUCCCACUGCCGAAUUAUACACAACUAUUUCCUCAUACACAUAGAGCAAUGGUUUUGCUGAUGCCGUCAACAAGUAAACAAACAGCAGCGCAAGCGGGACUUAUGCAUCCGGCAUUUUUAAAGUGA